Harmonia axyridis is the source of this 901-nucleotide long non-coding RNA. RefSeq lists it as uncharacterized. NCBI's taxonomy places the organism in Eukaryota, Metazoa, Arthropoda, Insecta, Coleoptera, Coccinellidae. The record is from RefSeq and is a predicted model, not a curated record. The transcript has 2 exons.
CCUUUUAUGCGGAAAGAUUCGUUUUUAUUUUCAGAAUAGACUUCAACUUCGCCAAUCACUUCUUCAUUAGAACCAAAUUUCUUUUUCUGUUUCCUGAAUUUGCGUGUUCUAUCAAUACACGACACUCGUAUGGAUCCAAUUUUCAAACAACAAGAAAUGUAGCUUCACUCAAUCAAUAUCUCGAUCCAGACUUAACUUUAUAUCAUCUGAAAUUUUGACAUGCAUUUUUUUAAAGCUUGGUACUAACAAGGAGAAUAACUAUAAUUGUGGUAUGGCACUGGCGAUGCGCCAGGUCCGAGACUUGUUGAGUGAUCUGUAAUAUUCACCACCAAACCAUAUUAUUGCAACCGAAAACUGCAGCGGAUAUUUUGAAACCAAUGUAAUUUUACGAAAUACAUUUGUUGUUAUUAUGAAAUAGGAGGAAAAGUUUUACUUCGAUUUUUCCUAUAUAAAGUGUUCAUUUUUCACUAUGCAUGCAAUAAGUUCGAAAAGAAUAUUCAAGAUGGCUAACAUGAAACAAAUGUUGUGCCUAGCCGUCAUUUUGGUAUGUUUUGGGUUGUGUAUGGCAAAUCAUAGAAAUAGCGAACAGAAAUUGAUAUCUAUCAAGAAUAUAGUCAUGGAGAUGCGUCGAAUUUUCUGUUUAUAUGGUUAUCCGAUUCUAAUACCAAUUUUGCGUACAUUCAGAGUGGAAAUAUUUGCAGAUAUCAUCUGUGGAAUGAAAACUUCAAAUAAUACCUGUCCUUAUAUGAGAAGAAAAGUCCUUUUGCGUUUGUAAUUUUAUAAUUAACUAUUCAUCCAAGGUAAUAUUUAUAUAAUUUUGCUGUUUUUUUUUACGAAAAUUUCUGUUGAAUUAAUAAAAUCCUUUAUUCUACAUGCACUGAAAAUCAUAGUGAUUUAUUGA